This 394-nucleotide ribosomal RNA is filed under the name uncultured bacterium. RNAcentral's name for it is "bacterial SSU rRNA". It matches the Rfam family "Bacterial small subunit ribosomal RNA", at positions 28 to 424 of the family's 1533-position model. The record is from RNAcentral.
GACGAACGCUGGCGGCGUGCUUAACACAUGCAAGUCGAGCGGUAAGGCCCUUUCGGGGGUACACGAGCGGCGAACGGGUGAGUAACACGUGGGUGACCUGCCCUUAGCUCUGGGAUAAGCCUGGGAAACUGGGUCUAAUACCGGAUAUGACUCCAUGACGCAUGUUGUGGGGUGGAAAGCCUUGUGCGGCUAGGGAUGGGCCCGCGGCCUAUCAGCUUGUUGGUGAGGUAACGGCUCACCAAGGCUACGAUCAGUAGCUGGUCUGAGAGGAUGAUCAGCCUCACUGGGACUGAGACACGGCCCAGACUCCUACGGGAGGCAGCAGUAGGAAUAUUGGACAAUGGGCGCAAGCCUGAUCCAGCCAUGCCGCGCGAGUGAUGAAGGCCUUAGGGUU